UACGUAGGUGGCAAGCGUUGUCCGGAUUUACUGGGCGUAAAGAGCGCGCAGGCGGUUCAUCAAGUCGAAUGUGAAAGCCCCCGGCUCAACUGGGGAGGGUCAUUCGAUACUGCUGGACUUGAAGGCAGGAGAGGGAAGUGGAAUUCCCGGUGUAGUGGUGAAAUGCGUAGAUAUCGGGAGGAACACCAGUGGCGAAGGCGGCGCUCUGGCUCGCAACUGACGCUCAGACACGACAGCAUGGGGAGCGAACGGG
RNAcentral lists this ribosomal RNA (253 nucleotides) under uncultured bacterium. Its description in RNAcentral is "partial 16S ribosomal RNA". It matches the Rfam family "Bacterial small subunit ribosomal RNA", at positions 524 to 776 of the family's 1533-position model. The record is from RNAcentral.